RNAcentral lists this ribosomal RNA (497 nucleotides) under uncultured bacterium. Its description in RNAcentral is "partial 16S ribosomal RNA". It matches the Rfam family "Bacterial small subunit ribosomal RNA", at positions 28 to 507 of the family's 1533-position model. The record is from RNAcentral.
GACGAACGCUGGCGGCGUGCCUAAUACAUGCAAGUAGAACGCUGAAGAGAGGAGCUUGCUCUUCUUGGAUGAGUUGCGAACGGGUGAGUAACGCGUAGGUAACCUGCCUGGUAGCGGGGGAUAACUAUUGGAAACGAUAGCUAAUACCGCAUAAAAUUGAUUAUUGCAUGAUAAUUAAUUUAAAGAUGCAACUGCAUCACUACCAGAUGGACCUGCGUUGUAUUAGCUAGUUGGUGAGGUAACGGCUCACCAAGGCGACGAUACAUAGCCGACCUGAGAGGGGGAUCGGACACACUGGGAAUGAGACACGGACCAGAAGACUACGGGAGGCAGCAGUAGGGAAUAUUCGGCAAUGGGGGGAACCCUGACCGAGCAACGCCGCGCGAGGGAAGAAGGGUUUCGGAUCGUAAAGCUCUGUUGUAAGAGAAGAACGGGUGUGAGAGUGGAAAGUUCACACUGUGACGGUAUCUUACCAGAAAGGGACGGCUAACUACGUG